RNAcentral lists this ribosomal RNA (471 nucleotides) under uncultured Rhodobacterales bacterium. RNAcentral describes it as "bacterial SSU rRNA". It matches the Rfam family "Bacterial small subunit ribosomal RNA", at positions 12 to 529 of the family's 1533-position model. Lineage: Bacteria; Pseudomonadati; Pseudomonadota; Alphaproteobacteria; Rhodobacterales. The record is from RNAcentral.
UUUGAUCCUGGCUCAGAACGAACGCUGGCGGCAGGCCUAACACAUGCAAGUCGAGCGCACCCUUCGGGGCGAGCGGCGGACGGGUUAGUAACGCGUGGGAACAUACCCAAUGGUACGGAAUAGCCUCGGGAAACUGAGAGUAAUACCGUAUGUGCCCUUCGGGGGAAAGAUUUAUCGCCAUUGGAUUGGCCCGCGUAAGAUUAGAUAGUUGGUGGGGUAAUGGCCUACCAAGUCUACGAUCUUUAGCUGGUUUUAGAGGAUGAUCAGCAACACUGGGACUGAGACACGGCCCAGACUCCUACGGGAGGCAGCAGUGGGGAAUCUUAGACAAUGGGCGCAAGCCUGAUCUAGCCAUGCCGCGUGUGUGAUGAAGGCCUUAGGGUCGUAAAGCACUUUCGCCAGAGAUGAUAAUGACNGUAUCUGGUAAAGAAACCCCGGCUAACUCCGUGCCAGCAGCCGCGGUAAUAAGGG